UCCCUGGUGGCUCAGACGGUAAAAGCAUCUGCUUAAAAUGUGGAAGACCCAGGUUCUAUCCCUGGGUGGGGAA
Molecule: transfer RNA, 73 nt
Filed under: Ovis aries (sheep)
Lineage: Eukaryota; Metazoa; Chordata; Mammalia; Artiodactyla; Bovidae
Rfam family: tRNA
About the family: Transfer RNA (tRNA) molecules are approximately 80 nucleotides in length. Their secondary structure includes four short double-helical elements and three loops (D, anti-codon, and T loops). Further hydrogen bonds mediate the characteristic L-shaped molecular structure. tRNAs have two regions of fundamental functional importance: the anti-codon, which is responsible for specific mRNA codon recognition, and the 3' end, to which the tRNAs corresponding amino acid is attached (by aminoacyl-tRNA synthetases). tRNAs cope with the degeneracy of the genetic code in two manners: having more than one tRNA (with a specific anti-codon) for a particular amino acid; and 'wobble' base-pairing, i.e. permitting non-standard base-pairing at the 3rd anti-codon position.
Source: Rfam by way of RNAcentral